RNAcentral lists this transfer RNA (72 nucleotides) under Escherichia coli. RNAcentral describes it as "tRNA-Asn". It matches the Rfam family "tRNA". From Rfam's summary of the family: Transfer RNA (tRNA) molecules are approximately 80 nucleotides in length. Their secondary structure includes four short double-helical elements and three loops (D, anti-codon, and T loops). Further hydrogen bonds mediate the characteristic L-shaped molecular structure. tRNAs have two regions of fundamental functional importance: the anti-codon, which is responsible for specific mRNA codon recognition, and the 3' end, to which the tRNAs corresponding amino acid is attached (by aminoacyl-tRNA synthetases). tRNAs cope with the degeneracy of the genetic code in two manners: having more than one tRNA (with a specific anti-codon) for a particular amino acid; and 'wobble' base-pairing, i.e. permitting non-standard base-pairing at the 3rd anti-codon position. Lineage: Bacteria; Pseudomonadati; Pseudomonadota; Gammaproteobacteria; Enterobacterales; Enterobacteriaceae. RNAcentral also lists the same sequence under 5 other names. The record is from RNAcentral.
CCUCUGUAGUUCAGUCGGUAGAACGGCGGACUGUUAAUCCGUAUGUCACUGGUUCGAGUCCAGUCAGAGGCC